Molecule: ribosomal RNA, 429 nt
Filed under: Chloroflexota bacterium
Lineage: Bacteria; Bacillati; Chloroflexota
Description: Chloroflexi bacterium partial 16S ribosomal RNA
Rfam family: Bacterial small subunit ribosomal RNA
Source: RNAcentral
UGGGGAAUAUUGCACAAUGGGCGCAAGCCUGAUGCAGCCAUGCCGCGUGUAUGAAGAAGGCCUUCGGGUUGUAAAGUACUUUCAGCGGGGAGGAAGGGAGUAAAGUUAAUACCUGUGCUCAUUGACGAUACCCGCAGAAGAAGCACCGGCUAACUCCGUGCCAGCAGCCGCGGUAAUACGGAGGGUGCAAGCGUUAAUCGGAAUUACUGGGCGUAAAGCGCACGCAGGCGGUUGAUUGAGUCAGAUGUGAAAUCCCCGGGCUUAACCCGGGAAUUGCAUCUGAUACUGGUCAGCUAGAGGUUUGGAGAGGGGGGUGGAAUUCCAUGUGUAGAGGUGAAAUGCGUAGAGAUGUGGAGGAAUACCGGUGGCGAAGGCGGCCCCCUGGACAAAGACUGACGCUCAGGUGCGAAAGCGUGGGGAGCAAACAGG